GACGAACGCUGGCGGCGUGCUUAACACAUGCAAGUCGAACGGAAAGGCCCUGCUUUUGUGGGGUGCUCGAGUGGCGAACGGGUGAGUAACACGUGAGUAACCUGCCCUUGACUUUGGGAUAACUUCAGGAAACUGGGGCUAAUACCGGAUAGGAGCUCCUGCUGCAUGGUGGGGGUUGGAACGUUUCGGCGGUUGGGGAUGGACUCGCGGCUUAUCAGCUUGUUGGUGGGGUAGUGGCUUACCAAGGCUUUGACGGGUAGCCGGCCUGAGAGGGUGACCGGCCACAUUGGGACUGAGAUGCGGCCCAGACUCCUACGGGAGGCAGCAGUGGGGAAUAUUGCACAAUGGGCGGAAGCCUGAUGCAGCAACGCCGCGUGCGGGAUGACGGCCUUCGGGUUGUAAACCGCUUUCGCCUGUGACGAAGCGUGAGUGACGGUAAUGGGUAAAGAAGCACCGGCUAACUACGUG
This 468-nucleotide ribosomal RNA is filed under the name uncultured bacterium. RNAcentral's name for it is "partial 16S ribosomal RNA". It matches the Rfam family "Bacterial small subunit ribosomal RNA", at positions 28 to 507 of the family's 1533-position model. The record is from RNAcentral.